CCCCCUGUAGCUCAGUGGUAGAGCAUCCGCCUUUUAAGCGGUUGGUCGUAGGUUCGAUCCCUACCGGGGGGA
RNAcentral lists this transfer RNA (72 nucleotides) under Candidatus Kaiserbacteria bacterium CG10_big_fil_rev_8_21_14_0_10_59_10. RNAcentral describes it as "tRNA-Lys". It matches the Rfam family "tRNA". From Rfam's summary of the family: Transfer RNA (tRNA) molecules are approximately 80 nucleotides in length. Their secondary structure includes four short double-helical elements and three loops (D, anti-codon, and T loops). Lineage: Bacteria; Candidatus Kaiseribacteriota. The record is from RNAcentral.